CAGUAGCCGCGGGAAUACGGAGGGGGCAAGCGCUGUCCGGAAUUAUUGGGCGUAAAGGGCUCGCAGGCGGUUUCUUAAGUCUGAUGUGAAAGCCCCCGGCUCAACCGGGGAGGGUCAUUGGAAACUGGGAAACUUGAGUGCAGAAGAGGAGAGUGGAAUUCCACGUGUAGCGGUGAAAUGCGUAGAGAUGUGGAGGAACACCAGUGGCGAAGGCGACUCUCUGGUCUGUAACUGACGCUGAGGAGCGAAAGCGUGGGGAGCGAACAGGAUUAGAUACCCGAGUAGUCCCUGUCUCUUAUAC
Molecule: ribosomal RNA, 301 nt
Filed under: uncultured bacterium
Lineage: Bacteria
Description: partial 16S ribosomal RNA
Rfam family: Bacterial small subunit ribosomal RNA
Source: RNAcentral